RNAcentral lists this ribosomal RNA (745 nucleotides) under Salmonella enterica subsp. enterica serovar Enteritidis. RNAcentral's name for it is "partial 23S ribosomal RNA". The stretch from base 77 to 745 matches the Rfam family "Bacterial large subunit ribosomal RNA", at positions 1 to 1191 of the family's 2925-position model. Lineage: Bacteria; Pseudomonadati; Pseudomonadota; Gammaproteobacteria; Enterobacterales; Enterobacteriaceae. The record is from RNAcentral.
ACCACCAAAGCAUUUGCUGUACCGCGUUGACGGAGCGAAGCGACGUCAAACCGAUAAAACAGCAGUGUAAAGUGAGCCGCAGGGCGCUUUGCGCGACAGCGCAAAGGCAGGCGGUUUCGCGUAGCGAAAGCGAAUGCUUUGGGGUGGGGUGACUGCGUACCUUUUGUAUAAUGGGUCAGCGACUUAUAUUCUGUAGCAAGGUUAACCGAAUAGGGGAGCCGGAGGGAAACCGAGUCUUAAUUGGGCGUUAAGUUGCAGGGUAUAGACCCGAAACCCGGUGAUCUAGCCAUGGGCAGGUUGAAGGUUGGGUAACACUAACUGGAGGACCGAACCGACUAAUGUUGAAAAAUUAGCGGAUGACCUGUGGCUGGGGGUGAAAGGCCAAUCAAACCGGGAGAUAGCUGGUUCUCCCCGAAAGCUAUUUAGGUAGCGCCUCGUGAAUUCAUCUCCGGGGGUAGAGCACUGUUUCGGCUAGGGGGCCAUCCCGGCUUACCAACCCGAUGCAAACUGCGAAUACCGGAGAAUGUUAUCACGGGAGACACACGGCGGGUGCUAACGUCCGUCGUGAAGAGGGAAACAACCCAGACCGCCAGCUAAGGUCCCAAAGUCAUGGUUAAGUGGGAAACGAUGUGGGAAGGCCCAGACAGCCAGGAUGUUGGCUUAGAAGCAGCCAUCAUUUAAAGAAAGCGUAAUAGCUCACUGGUCGAGUCGGCCUGCGCGGAAGAUGUAACGGGGCUAAACCAUG